UCGGGUUGUCAUGCCAAUGGCACUGCCCGGUAGCUAAAUGCGGAAGAGAUAAGUGCUGAAAGCAUCUAAGCACGAAACUUGCCCCGAGAUGAGUUCUCCCUGACUCCUUGAGAGUCCUGAAGGAACGUUGAAGACGACGACGUUGAUAGGCCGGGUGUGUAAGCGCAGCGAUGCGUUGAGCUAACCGGUACUAAUGAACCGUGAGG
Molecule: ribosomal RNA, 206 nt
Filed under: Escherichia coli
Lineage: Bacteria; Pseudomonadati; Pseudomonadota; Gammaproteobacteria; Enterobacterales; Enterobacteriaceae
Description: partial 23S ribosomal RNA
Rfam family: Bacterial large subunit ribosomal RNA
Source: RNAcentral